AUCCCUAUGCUCACCACCACUCCCACACUCUCUCAGAGCUCUUGACCAUUUUUAGGACACUCUCGACUGCUUUCUAUGCUCCACAGUCACUCUCUGUGCUCCACAGCCAUUACCUGAGACCUCUGGCCACAGUCACUCUCUGUGCUGUCAGGCCUCUUUUAUAGGCCUCAAAAUCACUUUGGAUCGAAAUUAGAGUCUCCAUAGGUCUCAAAAAAUAGUUCUGACCAUC
RNAcentral lists this long non-coding RNA (229 nucleotides) under Elaeis guineensis (African oil palm). RNAcentral's name for it is "long non-coding RNA (EGUI_LNC017095)". Lineage: Eukaryota; Viridiplantae; Streptophyta; Magnoliopsida; Arecales; Arecaceae. The record is from RNAcentral.